GGUUGGCCAUGGAUGCUGGGGGAUGCUGUUUCUGGGGAAUGACUGAAGUUUGAGAACUGCAGUUUACAGCAAUGGUUUUGCAGAUUGAUAGUGCACCAGAGGCCCUUGGCUUUAGAGAUCCCUAGUGGAACCAACACCAUGACAGCUGUAACUCAUCAUAAAUCUGGUAGCUUUUCUCAGCAGUUAAAAUGUGGUAUGGUUCCCUGGUCCAGGCAGCAGUGACCCAGCAGCCAUCCAAGAUGUCGGCCAAGGUGGGAGACACGGUCAGGAUCACCUGCUCAGGGAGUAGCAGCAACUAUUAUGGCUGGUUCCAGCAGAAGGUUCCUGGCAGUGGCCCUGUCACUGUGAUCUACUGGGAUAACAGCAGACCCUCGGACAUCCCUUCGCGAUUCUCCGGUUCUACCUCCGGCUCCACGGCCACGUUAACCAUCACUGGGGUCCAAGCCGAGGACGAGGCUGUCUAUUUCUGUGGUGGCCAGGACAGCAGCAGUACUGCUGGUGAAGUGACAAAGACAGAGGAAUUAAAAGCAUAGAUUUGCAGUCCUUCUCAUGGCCAAGCAGAGUUGUGGCUGUGGGACUGGGGAAGGUUUAUGUCUCCUCUGCAUUACCAUGCCUAUGAAUACCAUUUUUUGUCCCAGAGAACAGAACUUUAUGGCUGGGGACCAUUGUCCUUGUCCCUGCAAAACUCGUAUAUAUGUGUAUCUUGUAUAUCUGUGUUCCACAGCUCACUGCCUCUUGCUACUGAU
Vidua chalybeata is the source of this 746-nucleotide non-coding RNA. The record is from the annotation of a RefSeq genome assembly. Lineage: Eukaryota; Metazoa; Chordata; Aves; Passeriformes; Viduidae.